AAAAUGAGGGACAAUAUACCAUUUGUUCUUCAAACACAGCAGAAGGUACAAAAAUGAUGAAGGCGAGAUAUCGUUUCAGUCGUCAUUCCUACAGGUUGACGGUUCGAUUGUUGCUCGUCCACAU
Molecule: small nucleolar RNA, 124 nt
Organism: Rhododendron vialii
Lineage: Eukaryota; Viridiplantae; Streptophyta; Magnoliopsida; Ericales; Ericaceae
Product: small nucleolar RNA snoR111
Exons: 1
Source: RefSeq, a predicted model, not a curated record